AGUGAACGCUGGCGGUAGGCCUAACACAUGCAAGUCGAACGGCAGCACAGUAAGAGCUUGCUCUUACGGGUGGCGAGUGGCGGACGGGUGAGGAAUACAUCGGAAUCUACUUUUUCGUGGGGGAUAACGUAGGGAAACUUACGCUAAUACCGCAUACGACCUACGGGUGAAAGCAGGGGAUCUUCGGACCUUGCGCGAUUGAAUGAGCCGAUGUCGGAUUAGCUAGUUGGCGGGGUAAAGGCCCACCAAGUCGACGAUCCGUAGCUGGUCUGAGAGGAGGAUCGGCCACACUGGAACUGAGACACGGUCCAGACUCCUACGGGAGGCAGCAGUGGGGAAUAUUGGACAAUGGGCGCAAGCCUGAUCCAGCCAUACCGCGUGGGUGAAGAAGGCCUUCGGGUUGUAAAGCCCUUUUGUUGGGAAAGAAAAGCAGCAGGUUAAUACCCCGCUGUUCUGACGGUACCCAAAGAAUAAGCACCGGCUAACUUCGUG
This 492-nucleotide ribosomal RNA is filed under the name uncultured bacterium. RNAcentral describes it as "partial 16S ribosomal RNA". It matches the Rfam family "Bacterial small subunit ribosomal RNA", at positions 29 to 507 of the family's 1533-position model. The record is from RNAcentral.